Molecule: RNA transcript, 2785 nt
Organism: Pyrgilauda ruficollis (rufous-necked snowfinch)
Lineage: Eukaryota; Metazoa; Chordata; Aves; Passeriformes; Passeridae
Gene: GRAMD2B
Gene name: GRAM domain containing 2B
Exons: 13
Source: RefSeq, a predicted model, not a curated record
AUGGAGAAAAUGGAACUGAUGAAAAAAGAAAGGCUGGAAAAUCACCCACUGUGUCACUUCAGACCCCUACCAGUGAAAUGGAGUAUUUUGAUGACCGGAAAAAAGUUGAUGUUGACAGGACCAAGAGCAGCACAGAUAGUCCAGUCCUGACAAUCAAGAGUGACUCCAAGAUUGAAAGGAAAAAACGUGCCUCAAAUCAGCUGAAGGCAAACGCACACUUUCAUAAGCUGUUUCUAGAUGUUCCCAUUGAUGAGCCACUGAAACAAAGCUUUACCUGUGCUCUGCAGAAAGAAAUUCUGUACCAAGGAAAGUUAUUCCUUUCUGAAAACUGGAUUUGCUUCCAUUCCAAGGUUUUUGGUAAAGACACCAAGAUUAGUAUACCUGUGCUGUCAGUGACACUUCUGAAGAAAACCAAAACUGCCCUUCUUGUGCCAAAUGCUCUGAUCAUAGCGACAGUGACAGAUAGGUACAUGUUUGUAUCACUACUCUCCAGAGAUACCACGUACAAGCUAUUAAAAUCUAUCUGCACACAUCUUGACGAUACAAGCAUGGGCAACAGUCCAAAUCCCUCUUCUGCAGAAAACAGCUUCAGGGCUGAUCGCCCUAGAACUCUGCCCCUGGAUUUCAACGAAGAUUAUUCUGAUCUGGAUGGAAUAGUGCAGCAGCGAAGACAAGAAAUGGAAGAGUCCAGCAGCACAAGCUCACAGACACCAGAGCUGGAGUGCUUCCAAGAUUAUCACGUUGUUGAAACAGAGACUCAUUUGAAAGUUUCCAAGCCUGAGGCCAAGUCUGUUCGUUCAGAUGCACAUAGUAAACGUGGGCCUGAUGGAAAAGCGCGGAACAGUCCUCGAAAUGGCCAUUCUGAAGCCUUCAAGUUCCUCCACAGAGUGAAGUCCCAGAAUCUCUUAUCUCUGAACCAUGUACUUGUAUUUUAUGCAAUUCUUGUUUGUGUUUUAAUACUUUCUACCUUCUACAUGAGAUAUAAAAUCAGUGUCCUGGAGGAGCGCCUUAUGUCCAUGACAGCCUUUGAUUCACAUAUUAAGGACAGGAUACUGUGUCCCUCUUCAGAAACACUAACACAAGAAAGUCCUGUUUCUGUUGCUCUGAUCCCAAAGAGUACAAGAUACAGGAAGGAAGAUCUAAUGUGCACUUCUGCAAUGUCAAGGGCUUGGGCUUUCUGAUUUCCUCCAAGUCGCAGGAUAUGGAACUUAUGGAACUUUUCUGGGGAAAUAGCUGUAAAGUGUUCUAUCCAAACUUCUGGAGAAUGAGAUCACAUAGAAAAUGUAGUCAAGAAGUGACAGCACUUUUUUCUUUCUGUGAACUACUACGGUUUACAAUUUCUGCACUGUUGCCCUCUCCAUGUGUAUCCAGUUCUGUUUUCCUCAUUUUUUGAGUCUGUCACACUUACUUUUUCAUUCUAUUUGACAGACAUCAAGUGCACCAAGAUUUGGGAUCUCACCUGCAAAUUAGUGCUGAUGCCCUUUGUGAUGAGUUAACUGCUAAUCUUAGAAAAUUGGAAAAGAACAAUUUACAAAAACUACUUGAAGAUGGUGAAUGAAACAUCAAUGUUCUUGGACACUUCAGACCUCAUUCUUCUGUCUUGACAAACCGUUCCAAAGGAGCUCUGCUGGCCAGAGUUCAAGCUUCUUUAUUUUCAGUCCAAGCCAAGCUUAAACUACUGUAAAGCUCAUGUCAUAAUGCAAAAAAGUCAGUUGAUUCUUCAGCAUGUAUCUAUAUAUUUUGCAAACAUAUAUGGUUUGGUCUACAUGUAUCUGUGUUAUAAAAAUGUGGGGAUUUUUCUUUCUCUGAGUGUGAAUUAAUGGAUUUUAUAGCUUGCUUGAUUUUAGAGUUGCUUUCACCAGUGCAAACCUGGUGCAUAUCAUUUUACCUCAACAUUUACUUUAUGCCUAUUGUCAUACAAGUAUAUACGUGAAGAAUGUCAGUCAUGAUUCAUGUACUAAAGUGUUGUGUGAAUGAGCAGGUAUCUGUUUUAGCUAUGAAUAUGGAUUGGUGCUGUGCUCUUCAUUUUUAUUUACUUCUCUGCACCCUGACAUCCCAAAGAUCAGAAAACAGACGCCUCUGUGUUUGGGUAUGCAAAGUGAUGAAUGUUUGAGGCCUGCUCAGUUCUCCAGAGCUGUAAAAAGGCUCAAUUCCACUUUCUGUAACACUGUAUCACCACUGAGGGUAAGGUCUGUUUCUGCUGGGCAUUCAGGUUCCAUCAAAAGUCAAACCUGAAAUGUGUAUGGAUUUGCCAAUUUGCAGUCAAUUUGCUUAUGAAUAGCAAUAUGGGUGUGACACACCUGCACAACUUAGAAGAACUUCUUGUUUUCUGUCCUCUCAUAUGGUCUCUGUCGUUUUAAGUUAAUCAGCAUGAAGAUCCUCACUCAGCUUUCCUUGGAGUUGCCUGGGGUUUUGGUUGGCUGAGCAAGUGCAAUUUGUAGUCCAGUAAAUGGAAAUCUAGUCUUGGUAUGUGACUCCAGGGACUGGAUAUUUCCACAUAACGAGAACUGGCAAAUUAAUGGUGCAGCAAUACAAACAAUCAGUAGAGUGAAUGAAAAAAGUGGACACCUGCUUUGUUAUAUCACGUCCUGUUUUUUUUCCCAGAGUGCCUAAGGGGAUUUCAGCUUUUUGAUUCACCAAGCAGGCUCAUUAGUUUUUAAAAAGCAAUAUUUAGAAUAAUAACUACUAUCUGUGAAGUAACAGUAUUGUUUAUAAUAUGCUAUGCAUUUUAUAACCAUUUCUGUGAAAUGUACCUACUUUGUUUAAAUAAACUUUUUUAAAACCA